Molecule: ribosomal RNA, 506 nt
Filed under: uncultured bacterium
Lineage: Bacteria
Description: partial 16S ribosomal RNA
Rfam family: Bacterial small subunit ribosomal RNA
Source: RNAcentral
AUUGAACGCUGGCGGCAGGCCUAACACAUGCAAGUCGGACGGUAGCACAGAGGAGCUUGCUCCUCGGGUGACGAGUGGCGGACGGGUGAGUAAUGUCUGGGGAUCUGCCCGAUAGAGGGGGAUAACCACUGGAAACGGUGGCUAAUACCGCAUAACGUCGCAAGACCAAAGAGGGGGACCUUCGGGCCUCUCACUAUCGGAUGAACCCGGAUGGGAUUAGCUAGUAGGCGGGGUAACGGCCCACCUAGGCGACGAUCCCUAGCUGGUCUGAGAGGAUGACCAGCCACACUGGAACUGAGACACGGUCCAGACUCCUACGGGAGGUAGCAGUGGGGAAUAUUGCACAAUGGGCGCAAGCCUGAUGCAGCCAUGCCGCGUGUAUGAAGAAGGCCGUCGGGUUGUAAAGUACUUUCAGCGGGGAGGAAGGCGAUGUGGUUAAUAACCGCGUCGAUUGACGUUACCCGCAGAAGAAGCACCGGCUAACUCCGUGCCAGCCGCCGCAGUAA